UUUACUGAGGCGAGCACACGCUUGGGGCACGGGAAGGUGGCAUGGCUCCUGGUGAGGCCUCCGCUGGAAAACUAAGUGCCAAAGGCCAGACACCUCCCUGCAGCCUGGCUCCUUCUGCUGGCCCCGCUAUGAAGAACGGCCUAGGAGAGGCUCAUGUUUUAUGGAUCCGUGGCCGGAGCAGCCAGUGUUUUGGACACCACCACUCUAGCUAGCAGCCUCAAGAGUGUCAUAAAGGAGGCAAUAACUUAUCAAGGACAAGCACUGCAAGCAAGCCACCAUGCUCCAUCCGAGGCUUGAAUUAGCAUCGAACAUAAAAACUGUGAUCAUCGUAGG
This 333-nucleotide long non-coding RNA is filed under the name Fukomys damarensis (Damara mole-rat). RNAcentral describes it as "lncRNA (ENSFDAG00000023782.1)". The record is from RNAcentral. Lineage: Eukaryota; Metazoa; Chordata; Mammalia; Rodentia; Bathyergidae.